Molecule: non-coding RNA, 553 nt
Organism: Pogona vitticeps (central bearded dragon)
Lineage: Eukaryota; Metazoa; Chordata; Lepidosauria; Squamata; Agamidae
Source: RefSeq, a predicted model, not a curated record
UGUAGUUCAAUAGGCUGAGGUCGCAUCCAAGACAGAGUUACCAUAAAAAGGCAUUGCUUUUGGAAAAAGAAGUCCAUCUGAUGAACAUUUAACAAGCAGGGUAUGUAGUUUGGUGGUUAGAGGAAACAGCCUCAGAAGAGGAACUUUGUCAAAUGACAAUAUGAGAUCACAAAAAGCAGAGUCUGUGCAAGUUGAAAAGAAAAGGAAGCUGUUGGAGGAUUCGUCGUCCUACCUUCUGCCCAGAGUGACAGCAGGAAACAGGAAGCAGGGGUACCUCAGAGGAAGCAGCUGAGACACUUAGGUCUCCAAAGUCCCUGAACAGCAAGGAAGACACCAGGGAAAGUGUGAAGUGAAUAUGCCAAAGAAUGUGAAUUAAUUUCAAGAUGCAGAGGGGCUGCUCAGAGCAACUGCUUCACCUGAUGUCCUAUCAGUACUCUGAAGUUCCAUUCCUUAGAGAGACAAACAUCCAUGAGACCAACAAAAGUCAUGGCUUACCUUUUCUUCAUCUAAAUUUCUAUACAAGAGUGGACAGGCGGUCUGCCAGUUCUUCUCA